GCUGGGCGUGCUGGCGGGCGCCUGUGGUCCCAGCUACACAGGAGGCUGAAGCAGGAGAAUCACUUGAACCCGGGUUGGGAGGUUGCAGUGAGUUGAUAUCGUGCCACGGUACUACAGCCUGGGUGACAGAGCAAGACUCUGUCUCAAAAAAAAAAAAAAAAAAAAAUUUCUGUCAGGAGACUGAGGAAAGAAAAUUGCUUGAGGCCAGGAGUUCAGGGCUGUAGUAUACUAUGAUCCCUCCUGUAAAUAGCCACUGCAUGCCAGCCUGGGUGAUACAGUGAGACCCUGUCUCU
This is an unclassified non-coding RNA of Macaca nemestrina (pig-tailed macaque), 293 nucleotides long. It matches the Rfam family "Metazoan signal recognition particle RNA". From Rfam's summary of the family: The signal recognition particle (SRP) is a universally conserved ribonucleoprotein. NCBI's taxonomy places the organism in Eukaryota, Metazoa, Chordata, Mammalia, Primates, Cercopithecidae. The record is from Ensembl.